UCCCUAUGGGGUGCACCAGGCGCGAAACCUCCUCAAUGCACUUACAUGCGAAGGGGCUACCUCGAGUGCCACCUGAUGAAGGUGGCUUUUCCUAGGUCUAAAAAGCCUUGGGAAUAAGAGGGGGGCAAGACUGGUGUCAGCCGCCGCGGUAACACCAGCCCCUCGAGUGGUGGGGAUGAUUAUUGGGCCUAAAGCGUCCGUAGCCUGCCGUGUAAGUUUCCCGUUAAAUCCAGCGUCUUAAGCGUUGGACCGCGGGAAAUACUGUACGGCUAGAGAGUGGGAGAGGUCAGCGGUAUUCUGGGGGUAGGGGCGAAAUCCUUUGAUCCCCGGAGGACCACCAGUGGCGAAGGCUGCUGUCUAGAACACGUCUGACGGUCAGGGACGAAAGCUGGGGUAGCGAACCGGAUUAGAUACCCGGGUAGUCCCAGCCGUAAACGAUGCAUGCUAGGUGCUGGGUUGGCCACGAGCCACCUCAGUGCCGCAGGGAAGCCGUUAAGCAUGCCGCCUGGGAAGUACGAUCGCAAGGUUGAAACUUAAAGGAAUUGGCGGGGGAGCACCACCAGGCGUGAAGCCUGCGGUUUAAUUGGAUUCAACGCCGGAA
This 601-nucleotide ribosomal RNA is filed under the name uncultured archaeon. RNAcentral describes it as "bacterial SSU rRNA". It matches the Rfam family "Archaeal small subunit ribosomal RNA", at positions 319 to 923 of the family's 1478-position model. The record is from RNAcentral.